UUUUUUUAAAUAAAAACUCAGACGUAUAGAUAAGAAUAGACAGACAGAGUGUUGUACUCAAACAAAGGCGGUGGGUCAAGAGAGCUAGGGUUUCAGUUUUCUUUCGGAGAAAUCGAAUUGAAGCAUGAUUAAAGUCGACCAAGACGUGUUAUCAAUGACCAUCAAAAGUAGUUGAAUUGUGUUUUCGAGUUGUGUUGAGCCAGAAGCGAGAUGCCAGGGCAAUAUAUUAUUCUCGAGUUGCGUGACUAUGAUGUCACUAGUUUUUCUGUCAGAGCUAGGGAUUCAGAUGAAUUGUUGGUUAAGCUGCGCGUAAGAGUAAUGCUAGGUGAGAAUGCCAGGGAGAUGUCAGUGAAACCAAUUAUGGUUAGAAUUGUUCUAUUCCAAUUUAGUUGUAUAAUAGAUUUAUUUAUUUGGUUAUCAGUUACUCUUCUUAUCGAGGUGUAACUGAUAAUGUAGUUUAAGUUGUAAUAAGAUUUAAAGUUUUAAUUUCUGAUUUCAGUGCUGUAACCUAUUAGCGAUCCUGUUUUUAGGGGGUUAAAGUGAUUUUGAUUUAAAUCUCUUUUAAAAAUUUUCAAGAUUUUCGAAUAUCUAUUUUACAUUCUUCUUCAAUACCGGUUUUUAAAUAAUUUUGUUUUAGUGGCACCAAAUCCAGACCCCCGGAUUUUGGGGAUGUCACAGUUGGUAUCAGAGCUAUAGGUUAUAAGUUAUUGAAAUCAGAAUGUAGGUUGUGUAAGGAUUGUGUUUAAUGGAACCUCAUAUAGAGGUAAGAUAAGACUAUUUGGCAUAGUCUUUGUUAGUAAAAUUGUGGUUAAUAUUGGAGUAUUGAUUUUGAGUAACAAUUGGGAUAUCCUAGUUUCUAGUUUUAGAACUAGUGAGUUUGGAUUUCAGAGAAACAUGAUAAAACCUUUAGUUUCCAAUCUUUUUGAAUUUGAGAUUGACUUUCUGAGUACCCAGUACUAGCUAGACCUGUGGGUUGACCUGUCUAGUCUGGAUUAUCUCUUUUCAUCUUUACCACUUCUUGAAUAUGGUAGAGAGUCAUCUAUUGAUUUUCUAGAGAUAUAUAUAGAAUGAGUAUGAGAUUUGUUGGGUCAGAGAUGCUGUGAUUUGAGAGUUAUGUAGAAUUCAUAUAAGACUACUCGACAUAGUGUUAUGAGUAGGCUAGAACGUCAACGUUCUACAAUGCUGAUUGUAUAAAGUUGAAGAUGGUUUCUGACCGUGCCAAGCUAGAUAAGACCUUUUACUAAAGUGGAUUGCGAUGAUGAAAUUCUCAAAGAAGAUUACAAGUCAACGAUGAUAUGCGUAAUUGAUCAUUAAGAAUGUCGAGAAGAAUCGUUACAAACGACACGAGACAUCAGAGGAGCCAAUCAAGAAGAUAUUUGUGAGAAUCUUGGCAAUACCUUUCUCGUUGUUGAUUAUAUUGAUUAUUUCUCAAUCAAUGAUUUAUUCUAACAUCUCUUUCAUAAAGAUGUUUGUUAAAUUGAAUUGUGAUAGAGGCUAAUAUGAUAUCUAUUUUUUUAGGUUAUAUAAAGCCCUGUCAAGUUUAUGAUGUGAAACCUUCACUUUCUUCAAGUGGUGAAUGCUUCUAUUUCAAUAUAUCACCAUUUACUCGUUGUGUAUAAAUAUUCUUUCUAGUUAUUAUUUUUCUCCAGAAUAACACCUUUGGAAAUUCUUCAAUGUCGAUCCAAGGCGUGUAUCAAAUUUUAAUUCGUCAAAAGAUAAUGAUCAUUUAUUUAAUUUUAAAAUUCAUUACAUAUUUAUUUUCUCUAACUGAGAUGAACAACCCUAUUCAUAGGGGACACAAUGACUAUCUGUCUGUGUGAUAGAAGUUUGAUGGGACGCCAUCACUUGUGUGUUGUGCAUUACAAGAAGGCUAAUUACCUUUAGUAGUAUCUUUAUUAAGAUACGCGACAUUAAGUUCUCUGGAUCAUAUUGAUCUCUCAGUGCUUCUUUAUUUCCAAUCAAUUUUGACUUGGAAAAGUUUAAGUAUGACAAUUACUUUGAUAUCUAAAUUCUGAGACAUUUUAAGAUUUCAUAAUUCUGGUUCCAAUCAAUUUUGAAGGUAUGCCAACCAGGUUGUGUGAGCUAAUCAUGCUAGUACAUUUCAAGAUUACGUAUAAGAUUACAAUUAUUAAAGCAGAUCACGACCCGACUUGCAAGCCAUAGCAUGCUGAAGUCUCUCUUCGCUGAUUCCGAGGACGGAAUCCUUAUAAGGGGGGAAGUCUGUAAUGAAUCGGGUUUUUAUCAAUGUUUUGAAUAUAAAUCCAUUAUUUAUUGGAUUUGAAAUUCCCUGCAUAUUAUGGAUUUACCUUAUUAUGCUUUUAAAUUUAUCUUGCUGAGCAUUUUCGCUCACCCUUGCCAUUAUUUCUAACCCCUUUCAGCUAGGGAUUCAGAUGAAUUGUUGGUUAAGCUGCGCGUAAGAGUAAUGCUAGGUGAGAAUGCCAGGGAGAUGUCAGUGAAACCAAUUAUGGUUAGAAUUGUUCUAUUCCAAUUUAGUUGUAUAAUAGAUUUAUUUAUUUGGUUAUCAGUUACUCUUCUUAUCGAGGUGUAACUGAUAAUGUAGUUUAAGUUGUAAUAAGAUUUAAAGUUUUAAUUUCUGAUUUCAGUGCUGUAA
Long non-coding RNA from Daucus carota subsp. sativus, 2611 nucleotides. RefSeq lists it as uncharacterized. The transcript is spliced from 3 exons. NCBI's taxonomy places the organism in Eukaryota, Viridiplantae, Streptophyta, Magnoliopsida, Apiales, Apiaceae. The record is from RefSeq and is a predicted model, not a curated record.